RNAcentral lists this long non-coding RNA (898 nucleotides) under Monodelphis domestica (gray short-tailed opossum). RNAcentral's name for it is "lncRNA (ENSMODG00000032789.2)". Lineage: Eukaryota; Metazoa; Chordata; Mammalia; Didelphimorphia; Didelphidae. The record is from RNAcentral.
GGUACUUGGUAUUGGUUCAGGUGUGUAGAUCUCAGAUUGAGUCCUCUACAGAGGCAGCUUCAUUGGCCUGCUGUGUAGAGGUUUGUGGCUAUUCAGAACAGCUGGUUCAAGUUGGGUUCUACCUCAUCCUGCUGAGAUUAGACCUUUGACUGAUUUCCUCCCAUCACUUCCUGUGCCAGCUUGUGCCUGGCCUCUGUUCUGGAUAGAUUUUGCAGGGCUGCUUUCUUCUGUGAAGGAAGAUUUUGGAAAAAGAGGCAAGAAGGACAUGGAAUGUUGUGGAACUACAGAGACAGGGGUUGACCUGAUUGGAAUCUUCAAAGAUGGGGGCUGGGAGAUCUAAUGGCCAAAGAGAGGAGAUUGGGUUUGAUCUUAGGAGGAAAAGCUGACCCAGAUCCAGCUCAACCAGAUCUGGAAACUGCUAAAGCCUUCAACUCUGCUGACACACUAAGAAGACCAACAUUGAGAUUUGAGAGCUGAUUGAACUGCUAAAGGUUGCUUUAGAGAGUUUGCUUCCCUGAGGUGGACCUGAUCACUCCUGACUCCUGCUUUCAAUGCUAUCAAGACUAAAGCCUUAAUACCUAUGAGGGUUAUAGCUUAGAAAUAGGUAGAUAGAAGGGGAACUUUGUUUUGAGAUCAUAUCAUAUGAGGAUUGUUUGAAGGAAAGGAAAGUUAAAGGCAGCUGCCCAGAUCUUUGGAUUAAGAAGGAAAGGACAAAAAUGGCCAAUAAGGAGUGGAAGCACAAGAGAAUGUUCCAACUUGCAUUAUUGGAAGGAGUUUCCUUAUUUGGAGUUCUAUGUGUGAAUGAUGUAAAAAAUCCAGGUCUUCUCCUCUUGAUUAUCUCCAAGAAACCUUUCCAAGCUAAAAUUAUAUGGAAACAAAAAGACCUCUUGUUAUGUCA